GAUUUUGACCCGCGCUUUGAAAGCGCGGGAUUUGUUUCGUGUUAUAUUAACAUAUCAAAUCAUCAAUGAUUAUUUAUUUCAUGGGAGAUUUAACUUCAACAUGUGUAAUAUUGUUUCGAUAUAGUGAAAAUAUGUAGCUAUAUUUUUAUGUAAUGUAAAAUUUUAAAUUGAUAAAAUUCAAAUAAAAUAAGACACAAUUUUCUUAUUUUAUUAAAUUAAAACUAAUUUACUAUGAUUAAGGAAAAACAUAUUUUUUUAACUACAUAUCAAACACUUUCCUUAAACCAAAAUUGCACAAUUUUCUUAAACCCUAGUCACCAUCUCCGUAGCUUUAAACUUUCUCAAAUUGCACACUUUUCUUAAAGGUAUAGAUUUAAAAACUCAGAUAUAUUCAUUUAAAGAAAAUAUAUUAAAAUCCUUUAGAUGGUAAAUUAACUAAAGAAGUGGAAAAAGAUUCUACAGAAUAAAAUAUUUUAGAUGGUUAAUAUCUGCAAUUUCUGAAAAAUAGAAACAUUUAAUGAAAAUCAUAGGUUAAAAAUAUUUCAGUAGCAUGGAGUUGUAAAUACUUUAAAACUUCAAGGUGACCUCAAAAAAAGUCCUUCAGUUUAAAUAGUAUUGAUUUCUUAUAUUAUUGCAUUAAAAUUUGUAUUUAAUUUCAGAUAUAUCUGAAUCCGAACCAAUAUAAUCCGAUUCUGAACGAUAUAUUUUCAAAUAAUCAAAAUAUAUAUGGAUAAACGGUUUCUUUGGUUUAAGGAUGUGUAUUGUUUACAUAAUAACAAAAUAUAUUUGGAUGUUUAUUUCCUAGUUUUUAUUUUAUUAUGAGAGUCGGAUAGAUAUUGGUUUGUUUCCUUAGAAAUAGAAUUGAGUAUUAAUUUUAAUAAUGUAAGAAAGUUGAUAUUAAUUAAAAAGAUUGCUAUUAAUUAUGGUCCAAUCAUCGAUCUUAGUUUAAUAAUAAUGAUUUGCAAGAAUAUACUUAAAUAAAAUUAGACAAAUAGUUAAUGUGGGUUAGUAUAUAUAUAUAUAAUAUGUAUAUAAGGCUACCGGAAAUAAUGGAAAAUAUUUAACUGGCGCUUAAAAUUAUGUAAUAAUUGUUAAGAUUUGGAAGAUCUUAAAUAGAUUGAUUGUUGAAAUAUAUCCUAUUUUGUUUGAUUUUAUUUUUAGUUUAAACACUUUCCAAAAUCAGUUAUCAUUUUUAAUAGAAAAUCAAAGAAAAUCAAAUAUUUUUAAAUAAUGUGAUUUUCCAAACUCCAAACUAUAUAAUAAAGUCAAAAUAGACUAAGCAAAGAAGUCAAUUUAAUAAAACAAUUUUAAAAUGAUUGAAGUGGGCUUCCGAUAGCAAUUAAAUCUGGUCCAAAUACAUAAAAUAUCUACAUUAGCUUUGAAUAAAAAAGACCAAAUUGUUUACUGACUGUUCAAUUUAACCAAGAAAAAAUGGAAGUCGGGUUCUCCGCCGACAGCUCGUCCUCAUCAAUCCUCCAAAUCUAGAAUUGACGAUCGUUUUAGGAAGCAAAUCUUCCAAGAUAGAGAUCAUUUAAACAUUCAUCCACCUCACGAUCGAUCGUGUUAACAAAAUAGUAUUAUCGAUCGGUCCAGAUCCGUUAGGCAGCUUGUGUUAACUUCAGAUAGCGAAGGAAUUUUUUAGAUCGGACAACAUAAAAGACAAAAAUUGUGAAGUGAAGAACUUAUUAUGUAAAAAAGACUAUAAAGACAUAAGAAAAGGAUCUUUAUAUUAACUUUGCUUCAAGACAACUAACACAGAGAAAGAAUUAAGUAUCAAAAACUAAAGAUAAGUAUUCUUUUUGGUCAGAUGUUGCACUUACAGAAAAGUUCGCAAUAGUCUCCACUCACCAACACAUCAUUUACUCCCCAAACCUAUCAAAUAGCUUUGUUUAUAUGUUACCUUGAUUUUUUCACCCUGCAAUACAAAGACAUAAGACACGUUAAAGUCUUUAAAAUCAAGAAGUUUACGAAACAAUAUGAUUAAUUAGUCUAUGUAUUUGUUCAGUUAACCUUCUUGUCACUGAAAAUGAUUCCAGUUUACCAGAUUUCGGGUUGAAUUUCUUCCAGGUGUGGAUUGCUUUCACUUGGAUGUACCAGUUGGUUCUGUAAGGUUUCAACUCUAAAAGGUACAAAAUUUUCUGCAUUCCUUUCAUUCUCGUAAACCAAAAAGAAAUUCUGUUUGUGUGGAUGACUGUUUGACCUUCGUAGUAUAUAUAGCUACGAAUAGAUAGGUUCUGUUAGAAUAUUCGGAUUAUUUUUAUUGUGUUUUUCAAUCACAUAAUAACAAUUUAAAUCACUUUGGAAUAUUUUAGUUAGGAGAGAGUAUGUAUCGGUAGGUAGAUAAUAAGAUAUAUUCUGUUACUAAACUAAGUGAAUAGUUUUAUUUGGCAUAAACCUCGUUAGAAGGGAGGAUAUUUCGGCAGUAUGUUUAUGGUUUAGUUACUAAUUGGUAAUUGGUGAAUAAAGAAUAUUACUUGGCAUAUACUUAGUUAUUGAUUAACUUAAUAAUUUGAAACUUUUAUUGAUAUUGGAGUUUAAUUUUUUUUUUUGAAUUUCGUGGUUUUAUAUUUCGAGUUUGAAAUUGGAAGAUUGCGGAUUGAUUUUUUACUUGGCAUAUACUUCGUUGUUGAUUAACAAAAUAUUUUUAAAAUAUAAAGUAUAAAAAAGGAUUUUGGUUUUAUGGGUUCAUUUGUAUCUAACACUAUAUAUAAAAAUGAAAGCUUACAAAUAUACAAAAACGAAUCUAUACUAUUAAAAGGUUAAAUAUUCAUGAUUUUGAAUAAUUCAACAUGUAUGUUUUCUGGUGCAAUCAUUUGUAACCAAAACAUUGAUGGGAAGUGAUGAAUGGUCGAUACAAUAAUAUUAACAAAAUGUAUUUUUUUUAUUUGGAAGCUUGCAGAAAAAAAGUUAAACGUUAAAGCUUCGGUAUCGAUGGAAUAUUAUUAUCAAUAUACAACGAUUUGGUACAUAUACUGUCUAAGAAAUGAAAAUCAGUGUGUUAUAGUGGGUUAUAGCAGUUGAAGUUUCUUUUAAUCGUAGCAGUUGAUAUGUAAUGAUACGUUAUGUUGUUUGAUAGGAAGGUUUCUCCACAUUAAACGUAGGUGUUGUUUUAUAAAUAAAAAGAUUUUUUGCUGUUUAAAUAAAAGAAAUCUUGGCAAAAUACAGAAUUAAAUUAAAAACAUAGCUUAAAAUAUUCCAGUGACAGAAUCUUGUAAAUAUUGUUGAAACAGAAGGGUGUCUCAAAAAAGGGCCUUCUGUUUUAAUAGUAUUGAUGGGUUUGAAUACAAAUCAAGUUUAUAGUAACAAAAAUAUAUUUUUUUCUUUUAUUUUUAUUUUUGUAACAAAAAAAUCUAUAUAAAUCUAUACUAUGUUUUUGUUAUUAUUAGAAAGGUGCUCUUCAACAUUUUAAAAGUUUUUUAAGCAAAAGAUUAUCCACAGUUUAUUUUUUAUUUUAUGUAGUUUAAUGAUAAAAAGUUCUCUAAAAAGUAUUGGUUUGGUUGGUUGAAUAUGUGGUUUUAUGUGUUUUGUUUUAAGAUUUAGACUUUAAAUAUUUAGUUGUGACUUUGAAUUAUUGAUGUAGAAUUUUUUCAAAGCACUGACUAAAUUUUUUAGAGAAACUGAGUUCUUAAAACACUUCCAAAAUACUUCCAAUGGAAGGGUUUUUCGCUCUUUAAUUCUAUAAAUACAUAUGUUACACACACAUAUAUAUAUGUGUGUAUGUUAUUGCAUGAUUCUAAGUUUUACGGAAAACCCAAUCCAAAGUAUUUGAAACUAGAUAUUUUGGGAACUUUGGAUUUUUCAUAAAACUUAGAAUCCUAAAAUUACAUAUACAUAUAUAAUAUAUACAUAUAACUUAAGAACUAGAAUUCCCAGAAUUUCUCUUAAAUUAGCAUGUUUUCUUUUAUAAUCUUUUGGUGCUAGAUUCAAUUUUAACAUGAUGAUUAUAUUUGAAAAGAUUUGUAGAAAUAAAAAUGGUUGUCUGCAACUUCUACGAACUCUUCCAAUCAACCUCUAUGCUCUAAAAGAGGAUCAUCGGCUAGUUUCUCAAAAACUAGUUUUUAACUAAAAGGUUUAGCUCUUAAAUAAGAAUCAUUUUUCUUCUUCUUUCAACAAUCAUUUUUAUUCUCUCUUGAACUAAUUCGUAAAUAUAUAGCUAUUAGAAAACUCAGCAAUGGACAUGGUUUUAGGUACUAUCACAAUCUCUUUUUUUUUGUGAAAAGUCUUUACACUGCAUGGAAGAACUUCCAUUGUGCCAUUGGGAUUGGGAUGAUUUUUCUACAAAGCCAUUGAAGUUCACCAAUGGAACUGCAAAGUAAUUUGACUCUAAUGAAACUGCAAAACACCACGAAUUUGGUAUAAUUACUUUCCAACUAAACUACAGAAAAACAUUAUUUACGAAAUUUAAUACAUAUUAGCAUACCAAAUACUAUAGUAUAAUAUAUACUACUAAUUAUUUAUCACACUAAAUAUUAAAUAUUUUAUUUUAUGAUAUGACUAAGUUAGAUUUAUUAAAUAUUCAAAAUUCGUAGAAAAAUAAUAUAAAAAUAU
Molecule: long non-coding RNA, 4548 nt
Organism: Brassica rapa (field mustard)
Lineage: Eukaryota; Viridiplantae; Streptophyta; Magnoliopsida; Brassicales; Brassicaceae
Source: RefSeq, a predicted model, not a curated record